CACAGACUUCUGAGAGCAUGGCCGUCCAAGAAGAAAAUGUAGCCAUUGGUGCCAUCUAUCGACCACAGGUUAAAGAUUGGCGAUCCGUUGGGUACCGACCGAGUUAUAGGCAAAACUUGGUGCAAAAAUGAGGAAAAUUUUACAUUUUCUCAAACAGGGUAUGGAAUUUGGUUCCUCGAAUAUCUUCUGGCACAGACAUCUGAGGGCAUGGCCGUCCAAGAAGAAAAUGUAGCCAUUGGUGCCAUCUAUCGACCACAGGUUAAAGAUUGGCGAUCCGUUGGAUACCGACCGAGUUAUAGGCAAAACUUGGUGCAAAAAUG
Anopheles funestus (African malaria mosquito) is the source of this 320-nucleotide long non-coding RNA. RefSeq lists it as uncharacterized. Lineage: Eukaryota; Metazoa; Arthropoda; Insecta; Diptera; Culicidae. The record is from RefSeq and is a predicted model, not a curated record. The transcript has 3 exons.